RNAcentral lists this ribosomal RNA (440 nucleotides) under uncultured bacterium. RNAcentral's name for it is "partial 16S ribosomal RNA". It matches the Rfam family "Bacterial small subunit ribosomal RNA", at positions 338 to 795 of the family's 1533-position model. The record is from RNAcentral.
CCUACGGGUGGCAGCAGUGGGGAAUAUUGCACAAUGGGGGAAACUCUGAUGCAGCGACGCCGCGUGAGUGAAGAAGUAUUUCUGUACUUAAAGCUCUAUCAGCAGGGGAGAAAAUGACGGUACGUGACUAAGAAGCCCCGGCUAACUACGUGCCAGAACCCGCGGUAAUACGUAGGGGGCCAGCGUGAUCCGGAUUUACUGAGUGUAAAGGGAGCGUAGACGGCCGCGUAAGUCUGAAGUGAAAUCCCAUGGCUUAACCAUGGAACUGCUUUGGAAACUGUGCAGCUGGAGUGCAGGAGAGGUAAGCGGAAUGCCUAGUGUAGCGGUGAAAUGCUUAGAUAUUAGGAGGAACACCAGUGGCGAAGGCGGCUUACUGGACUGUAACUGACGUUGAGGCUCGAAAGCGUGGGGAGCAAACAGGAUUAGAUACCCUUGUAGUC